Molecule: small RNA, 119 nt
Filed under: Salmonella enterica
Lineage: Bacteria; Pseudomonadati; Pseudomonadota; Gammaproteobacteria; Enterobacterales; Enterobacteriaceae
Also listed under: 2 other names
Description: RtT sRNA
Rfam family: RtT RNA
About the family: This family represents a bacterial cis-regulatory element known as RtT RNA. The exact function of RtT is unknown although it is thought that it may be involved in changing the cellular response in relation to amino acid starvation.
Source: RNAcentral
UGUAUCUGAAGUCUGACGAGGAUGAGAACCUCCGGGGGCAAGAGGUUCGACCCGAGCGAAGCGAGAAAAUGUUGCGUCAGCAACGGCCCGCAGGGCGAGCCAUCCUCUAUCACCGGCAG